AGCAGCCGCGGUAAUUCCAGCUCCAAUAGCGUAUAUUAAAGUUGUUGCAGUUAAAAAGCUCGUAGUUGAAUUUCGGGAUUGACGUGAUGGUCAUGCCUUAAGGGGUAUGAACUGUUACUGUUGAUUUCUCACCUUCUGGAGAAACUUGAUGUCCUUUAUUGGGUGUCUUGCGGAUCCAGGACCUUUACCUUGAAAAAAUUAGAGUGUUUAAAGCAGGCAUUUUUGCUCGAAUACAUUAGCAUGGAAUAAUAGAAUAGGACGGCAUGGUUCUAUUUUGUUGGUUUCUAGGAUCACCGUAAUGAUUAAUAGGGAUAGUUGGGGGCAUUAGUAUUCAAUUGUCAGAGGUGAAAUUCUUGGAUUUAUUGAAGACUAACUACUGCGAAAGCAUUUGCCAAGGAUGUUUUCAUUAAUCAAGAAUGAAAGUUAGGGGAUCGAAGACGAUCAGAUACCGUCGUAGUCUUAACCAUAAACUAUGCCGACUAGGAAUCAGACGAUGUUAAUUUUUUAAUGACUCGUUUGG
RNAcentral lists this unclassified non-coding RNA (520 nucleotides) under uncultured Entrophospora. RNAcentral describes it as "SSU rRNA". It matches the Rfam family "Eukaryotic small subunit ribosomal RNA", at positions 569 to 1083 of the family's 1831-position model. The record is from RNAcentral. Lineage: Eukaryota; Fungi; Glomeromycota; Glomeromycetes; Entrophosporales; Entrophosporaceae.